Lactuca sativa (garden lettuce) is the source of this 525-nucleotide long non-coding RNA. RefSeq lists it as uncharacterized. NCBI's taxonomy places the organism in Eukaryota, Viridiplantae, Streptophyta, Magnoliopsida, Asterales, Asteraceae. The record is from RefSeq and is a predicted model, not a curated record.
UACCCUUUCAUUAUUUUACAUUAACUAUCCUUCUACUCUAAAACCCUUCCCUACGUAUAACACAUUCCCACGAUCACGAUCAGAUACGACUUCAAUUCCAUCAUCGUCCACUGCUUGCUUCAUUCCGUCGCCGCCUCCGCCUUGCUUCACCGUCUCUGCAGCCUCCGGUUUACUCCACUGUCGUCGUUCAUCAACUGCUUCAAGCUUGCUUCAUAGAUGGGUUCAAUAGAGUAAAAAAAGAAAGAGAAAGAAAGAGAAAGAAAGAGAAAAGAAACAUACAUGGAAAUGAUUUGACUCAGUCCAAUGCUAGUUCUCAAGGCACAUUGCAAGAUUAUGUCACCGAUUAAUAUAUUUGAGUUGAAUGUUAUUAAAUUUCCUAGUUUUUUUAAUAGUUAGUUCUAUAUUUUUUGAUUCGGAUUAUUGUUUGGUUGUCUAUUUAGACGGCUGUUUGAUCACAUUUUUUGGUAAAAGCUUUGUGAAAUAUAUAGUGUUGUUUUGAAUGGCUAGUUAAAAUUUUCAAUGUUA